CACGCUCACAGCCUCUCAUGGGACAACAGCUGCAGCGAGCUGCACAAUCACAGAGCAAGUGCAUCAGCAGCCUCAAGCGACCUGCUGCAUGGACACCUCAGCAACCAUGCGCCAUUAGGGAAGAGCCCACAGCAGCAAUAUUCAUAAAUAUCGACUGGGGUCCCUCCGGACGUGUUCUAACCAUUCGCUGCUGCGGAAAGAACACAAGGCGCAGCAGCAGGUCUGCAGGAUGCGGGGUGUUGUUACGGAGCAUAUUUAAUUAGCAGCUGCAGCAACGAUCGCGUCGUGCAAGUUGAUUUUUUUUUUCCUGUUCUGCAGAUUUGCCUUUGCAACACCUGGAGCGACGCCGCUGCUCCUGAUCCGCGCCGCCCCGGCCCUUCAUCACAGCAGCUCGGCGUCGCCUCCCGUCACCCUGCAGGUUUACUGGUCGGCUCGCAUGUCGUUUAAUCUGCAGGGGAAGCGUCUUAAUUCAGGCCAGCUAAUCAAUCCUGUUGGGGUGUUAACUAAUUACAUCCUCCCGGCCCGGGAACAACAGCAGUUGAGAUCAUCAAGACAGUUCAUUUCCUGGAAAGGUGGUGCUGAGCACUCGUACGUAGAUCUAACAGUACGUGCUUUGUCUACAUUUUAUGUGUGGCUUGCUUCAAUAUAAAGCAGAUUUUGACAAGUUAAUUAAAUAUUCUAAAUAUUAAGUAUUGCAUUGUCGAACAACAUAAAUGUUAAAUUCUGGAUCUCUGCUAAGAACCAGCCUGAUGCUGCAUGACAGCAACACGACAAUGUGGAUUGCUGUCAAACUGACACUUUCCACUUUUUAGCCAUUAGUGUCUGUUCCAUCCUAAUGAUUUGGGUGAAAUAAGUCAAGUUGUGCACAUUUGUUACCACUAGAAGUCACAUCCUAACAGGUUUUUAAACAUUUUCCAAACUUUGUGUGUUGACAAGCCUCAACUCGCACGAGAAGUUUCCUUUUAGGGUUUGAUAAUUCCCACAUUAAAAAUUAAGUCAAGUUGACGUGUUUAGACGUUUCUGGAAGCACAAAAAGCCUGACGAUGAUGCAGAAUGUCAGGCGGACGCGCCACACCGACACACAGAGACUGUAAAUUAUUGAUUUUAUCAUUUAAGACUCACCUGAAUCUACUGUGUUAUUGCUACUGCCGCGGCAGGUUUGUGGAUUUUGUACAUUCCCUCAUUAAUAAGUGAUCUAAACCGCAGCUGUCGUGCUGACUAUUAAACACUUGCCUCCACCGCACUUGAUAUUCGAGGCGAUAU
This 1263-nucleotide long non-coding RNA is filed under the name Betta splendens (Siamese fighting fish). Its description in RNAcentral is "lncRNA (ENSBSLG00000007793.1)". Lineage: Eukaryota; Metazoa; Chordata; Actinopteri; Anabantiformes; Osphronemidae. The record is from RNAcentral.